RNAcentral lists this small RNA (118 nucleotides) under Foraminifera environmental sample. RNAcentral's name for it is "partial transfer-messenger RNA". Lineage: Eukaryota; Foraminifera. The record is from RNAcentral.
AUAUCCUUAAAAUAUCUGAAUAAAUACAUGCCAAUAAUAAUUUGAUCGAAUCCUUUCUCUGAUUUAAAAUCCAUUUUUUACCCAAUGAAUCAACCAAAGUUUGUAAUUGAUCAAGAUU